GGCCGUGGCUGGCGGGUUUCUAUGGUGAUGCAGCCCAAGUCCCAGAGACCAGGGUCUUGGCUGGGAUCCCCAUCCUGGCAGACCUCCUCACAGGACCCCACCACUACCCCAGGUUCUCCCAUGAACGUGCCCUCCUGGAGCCUGGGCCACUCUGCGAGGCCGCAUCACCCUCACACCCAGAAAAGCACUCAGUGCAGCCAUUUCGAGCUUUGAAAGGGAACUUGGUGAUCAAGGUGCAUGCCAAGGAAGGCGCCAGCUGUAGUUCCAGUGGUGGAAAGGGCUCGGACCUGGGAGAGGCCGAUUGGGGGCACAAUCUGGGCACCCUGCUCACUGUAGGAGCCCUCAGGCCAGGCCCUUCCUCACUCUUUGCCUCCCUUUUCCCUUCAGAUAAUCAUCAAGAAAAAAGAAAACAAGUGACACCCCACGAAGACAGGGACAAUGCUGGUCCAGUUUGUCACUGGCUCUUCCAUGGGCAGCCCAGAGCCCGGCCCAAAGGAGCACUGGCCAUGAGCAGCUGCCCAGUACACGACUGCCCAUCGCUGGGAUCCUGAGCGCCUGGAGCCUGUGGAAACGGGCUCCAGAGGCGCCCUACGCCUCCGGGGAGGAGCCCCUGGCUCUGCGGCAGGUUUUCGGGCCAGCAUCUGGGGCCCCGCAGGUUACCCCUCACCUGUCGGGCUCGGGCACCCGGCAUCCCUCCCCCGCCCCGCUUACAGCCCGCGGUGCCCGGAGCCCGACGCCCGGCAUGGGUGGGGCUCCGGCAGCAACGCCGGUUACCGCGGGCCGGACCGGGCCGGGACUCCCUGCCCUGCACAGGAUCGAGAAGGAAGGAGCUCCUCCCCAGUGCCCCCUCCUAGGCUCAAGGCCAUGACCUCACAGGCGAGGAAGCAAAAUGGAGGGGCCCUCAUAGACACAGUGGACUGGACAAGGGAAGCCCCAGACUCUGACCCUGUGAUGAGCAUGCAGAAGACGCAGAAGCCACAGACGACAGUGGGGCAGUAAGGAAGUGCCAGCAGGCAGGCGGGGUGGGCUCAGCCAGACGUGUCUUUCUCUGUUCUCCUUUCAAUCUUUCUGUGUCUUCAUAUCUCAGGUGUAGCGCUUGGAAACAGCACAUAGUUGGGUUUUGGUUUGGUUUGAUUCUGUCUAACAAUUCUUGUCUUUUUAAAAAUCAGCUUUGAGACCUGCCUGGGCAACACAGCGAGACCACGUCUCUACAAAAAAAAUUUUAAAAUUAGGCAUGGUGGUGCAUGUCUGUAGUCCCAACUACUCAGGAGGCUGAGGUGGGAGGAUCGCUGGAGCCCAAGAGGUUGAGGCUACAGUGAGCCAUGAUCACACCACUACACUCCAGCCUGGGUGACAGAGUGAGACCCUGUCUCAAAAAAAAAAAAAAAAAAA
Molecule: long non-coding RNA, 1392 nt
Organism: Homo sapiens (human)
Lineage: Eukaryota; Metazoa; Chordata; Mammalia; Primates; Hominidae
Gene: L1CAM-AS1
Product: L1CAM antisense RNA 1
Source: Ensembl